Molecule: ribosomal RNA, 227 nt
Filed under: Gallionella sp.
Lineage: Bacteria; Pseudomonadati; Pseudomonadota; Betaproteobacteria; Nitrosomonadales; Gallionellaceae
Description: partial 16S ribosomal RNA
Rfam family: Bacterial small subunit ribosomal RNA
Source: RNAcentral
GAACUUAAGAGUUUGAUCCUGGCUCAGAUUGAACGCUGGCGGUAUGCUUUACACAUGCAAGUCGAACGGAUUAAGGAGCUUGCUUCUUAGUUAGUGGCGAACGGGUGAGUAAUAUAUCGGAACAUAUCCGGAAGUGGGGGAUAACGUAGCGAAAGUUACGCUAAUACCGCAUAUGCCCUGAGGGGGAAAGGGGGGGAUCGCAAGACCUCUCGCUUUCGGAGUGGCCG